GGAAAUGUGCCUGAACAUUAAGGGUCACUAUGAUAAAGUGAACACGGAGGUGCACCAAUCCUCUCAUUUCCUAU
This 74-nucleotide transfer RNA is filed under the name Piranga roseogularis (rose-throated tanager). Its description in RNAcentral is "tRNA-Ile". Lineage: Eukaryota; Metazoa; Chordata; Aves; Passeriformes; Cardinalidae. The record is from RNAcentral.